AGGACGAACGCUGGCGGCGUGCCUAACACAUGCAAGUCGAGCGAGGAGAUCCUCGGGAUGAUCCUAGCGGCGGACGGGUGAGUAACACGUGGGCAACCUGCCUCAUAGAGAGGAAUAGCCUUCCGAAAGGGAGAUUAAUACCUCAUAACAUUGCAGUUUCGCAUGGAACAGCAAUUAAAGGAGUAAUCCGCUAUGAGAUGGGCCCCGCGGCGCAUUAGCUAGUUGGUGAGGUAACGGCUCACCAAGGCGACGAUGCGUAGCCGACCUGAGAGGGUGAUCGGCCACAUUGGGACUGAGACACGGCCCAGACUCCUACGGGAGGCAGCAGUGGGGAAUAUUGCACAAUGGGGGAAACCCUGAUGCAAGCAACGCCGCGUGAGUGAUGACGGCCUUCGGGUUGUAAAGCUCUGUCUUCAGGGACGAUAAUGACGGUACCUGAGGAGGAAGCCACGGCUAACUACGUGCCAGCCGCUGC
This 475-nucleotide ribosomal RNA is filed under the name uncultured bacterium. Its description in RNAcentral is "bacterial SSU rRNA". It matches the Rfam family "Bacterial small subunit ribosomal RNA", at positions 26 to 518 of the family's 1533-position model. The record is from RNAcentral.